This 1191-nucleotide ribosomal RNA is filed under the name uncultured bacterium. RNAcentral's name for it is "bacterial SSU rRNA". It matches the Rfam family "Bacterial small subunit ribosomal RNA", at positions 101 to 1310 of the family's 1533-position model. The record is from RNAcentral.
AACGGGUGAGGAACACGUGAGGAAUCUGCCUUUCACUUCGGGAUAACUCCGGGAAACCGGGGCUAAUACCGGAUAUUUUCAACUGGCGGCAUCGCCGGUUGAAGAAAGUUUUUCGGUGAAAGAUGACCUCGCGGCCUAUCAGCUUGUUGGUGAGGUAAUGGCUCACCAAGGCAACGACGGGUAGCCGGCCUGAGAGGGCGACCGGCCACACUGGGACUGAGACACGGCCCAGACUCCUACGGGAGGCAGCAGUGGGGAAUAUUGGGCAAUGGAGGAAACUCUGACCCAGCGACGCCGCGUGAGGGAUGAAGGCCUUCGGGUUGUAAACCUCUUUCAGCAGGGAAUAAGCGAAAGUGAAGGUACCUGCAGAAGAAGCACCGGCUAACUAUGUGCCAGCAGCCGCGGUAAUACAUAGGGUGCAAGCGUUGUCCGGAAUUAUUGGGCGUAAAGAGCUCGUAGGUGGUCGAUCACGUCGGAUGUGAAAAUCUGAGGCUUAACCUCAGACCUGCAUUCGAUACGGGUUGACUGGAGUGUGGUAGGGGAGACUGGAAUUCCUGGUGUAGCGGUGGAAUGCGCAGAUAUCAGGAGGAACACCGAUGGCGAAGGCAGGUCUCUGGGCCAUUACUGACACUGAGGAGCGAAAGCGUGGGGAGCGAACAGGAUUAGAUACCCUGGUAGUCCACGCCGUAAACGGUGGGCGCUAGUUGUGGGAACCUUCCACGGUUUCUGCGACGCAGCUAACGCAUUAAGCGCCCCGCCUGGGGAGUACGGUCGCAAGACUAAAACUCAAAGAAAUUGACGGGGCCCCGCACAAGCAGCGGAGCAUGCGGCUCAAUUCGACGCAACGCGAAGAACCUUACCAAGGCUUGACAUAUACAGGAAUACGGCAGAGAUGUCGUAGCCGCAAGGUCUGUAUACAGGUGGUGCAUGGUUGUCGUCAGCUCGUGUCGUGAGAUGUUGGGUUAAGUCCCGCAACGAGCGCAACCCUCGUCCUGUGUUACCAGCAUUUAGUUGGGGACUCACAGGAGACUGCCGGGGUCAACUCGGAGGAAGGUGGGGAUGACGUCAAAUCAUCAUGCCCCUUAUGUCUUGGGCUGCACGCAUGCUACAAUGGCUGGUACAAAGGGCUGCGAUACCGCAAGGUGGAGCGAAUCCCAGAAAGCCAGUCUCAGUUCGGAUUGGGGUCUAAAC